CGCCCGUCACACCAUGGGAGCUGGUAAUACCCAAAGUCGGUUUGCUAACCUCGGAGGCGACUGCCUAAGGUAGGACUGGUGACUGGGGUGAAGUCGUAACAAGGUAUCCCUACGAGAACGUGGGGAUGGAUCACCUCCUUUCUACGGAGUACAAUUGAAGUUAUCCAUACUUCAUGACUAAAGUUAAUGGAAUUAUGUUCGUAUCCAGUUUUGAGAGAAUUAUUCUCUCUUUUUGUUCUUUGAAAACUGAAUUAGACAUUGAAAAAUUAUCAAAUUAAUAUUUCAAAGUUUAGAUCAACCUAUAGAAUAUUCUAAAACAUAUAUACGACAACAAUAGGUCAUACAUAUUUAACUAUUAAAUAAGCAAGAGUUUUUGGUGGAUGCCUUGGGUCUAGAAGUCGAAGAAGGACGUGAUUACCUGCGAUAAGCCUCGUUUAGUUGGAAAUAAACAUUGAGACGGGGAUUUCCGAAUGGGGAAACCUAAUUGAGCUAAUCCUCAAUUAUCAUAGUCAGUGAAUACAUAGCUGAAUGAAGAGACACGUUGUGAAUUGAAACAUCUCAGUAACAACAGGAAAAGAAAAUAAAGAAUGAUUCCCUAAGUAGUGGCGAGCGAACGGGGAAAAGCCCAAACUAGCAUUUGUUGCUAGGGUUGUAGGACUACCUAUAUAAAGUUACAAAAUUUACAUAUAGCAGAAUAAGUUGGAAUGCUUAAACAUAGAGGGUGAAAUUCCCGUAAGUGAAAUGUGUAAAACUUUUAGUAGUAUCCUGAGUAGGGCGGGGCACGUGAAACCCUGUCUGAAUCUGCCGGGACCACCCGGUAAGGCUAAAUACUAACUAGACACCGAUAGUGAACAA
This 855-nucleotide small RNA is filed under the name Metamycoplasma faucium. Its description in RNAcentral is "bacterial LSU rRNA". The stretch from base 354 to 855 matches the Rfam family "Bacterial large subunit ribosomal RNA", at positions 1 to 497 of the family's 2925-position model. Lineage: Bacteria; Bacillati; Mycoplasmatota; Mycoplasmoidales; Metamycoplasmataceae. The record is from RNAcentral.